CCUACGGGAGGCAGCAGUGGGGGAUAUUGGACAAUGGGGGAAACCCUGAUCCAGCGACGCCGCGUGAGUGAAGAAGUAUUUCGGUAUGUAAAGCUCUAUCAGCAGGGAAGAAAGAAAUGACGGUACCUGAGUAAGAAGCCCUGGCUAACUACGUGCCAGCAGCCGCGGUAAUACGUAGGGGGCAAGCGUUAUCCGGAAUUACUGGGUGUAACGGGAGCGUAGACGGUAAUGCAAGUCUGGAGUGAAAGGCGGGGGCCCAACCCCCGGACUGCUCUGGAAACUGUGUAACUGGAGUGCAGGGGAGGCAGGCGGAAUUCCUAGUGUAGCGGUGAAAUGCGUAGAUAUUAGGAAGAACACCAGUGGCGAAGGCGGCCUGCUGGACUGUAACUGACGUUGAGGCUCGAAAGCGUGGGGAGCAAACAGGAUUAGAUACCCUUGUAGUC
Molecule: ribosomal RNA, 443 nt
Filed under: uncultured bacterium
Lineage: Bacteria
Description: partial 16S ribosomal RNA
Rfam family: Bacterial small subunit ribosomal RNA
Source: RNAcentral